This 469-nucleotide ribosomal RNA is filed under the name uncultured bacterium. RNAcentral's name for it is "bacterial SSU rRNA". It matches the Rfam family "Bacterial small subunit ribosomal RNA", at positions 28 to 509 of the family's 1533-position model. The record is from RNAcentral.
GACGAACGCUGGCGGCGUGCUUAACACAUGCAAGUCACGGGGGCUCGCAAGGGCAACCGGCGAACGGGUGCGUAACACGUGAGCAACUUACCGAUUUGUGGGGGAUAGCCGGCCCAACGGCCGGGUAAUACCGCAUACGCUCUUUGGGUGGAGUCACCUGAAGAGGAAACCUCCGGGGCAAAUCGAGGGGCUCGCGGCCUAUCAGCUAGUUGGUGCGGGUAACGGCCCACCAAGGCGAUGACGGGUAGCGGUCUGAGAGGAUGGCCAGCCACAUUGGGACUGAGAAACGGCCCAGACUCCUACGGGAGGCAGCAGUGGGGAUCUUGCGCAAUGGCCGAAAGGCUGACGCAGCGACGCCGCGUGUGGGAGGAAGCUCUUCGGGGUGUAAACCACUGUUGCCCGGAACGAAUGUCAGGGAUUUGUCCUGAUUGACGGUACCGGGUGAGGAAGCACCGGCUAACUCUGUGCC